This is a long non-coding RNA of Canis lupus familiaris (dog), 365 nucleotides long. RefSeq lists it as uncharacterized. The record is from RefSeq and is a predicted model, not a curated record. NCBI's taxonomy places the organism in Eukaryota, Metazoa, Chordata, Mammalia, Carnivora, Canidae. The transcript is spliced from 3 exons.
CUGUGCCCCGCCCCACCCUCCCGACCCUGAGCGUGGCGUCGGCGCCCGCAGGCGGGUCCGCCUCUUCGGGGCUGCCGGCCGCUGGGGUCCGCAGCGGGGGCUGCCCCGGUCCCGCACGCCCCGAGGUUUCCCGAUAGCUCAGGAAACCGAGCGGGUGAGUGAAACUCAGAGAAGCUACGGACUUGCCGAAUUCUCGGGAAUUCUCCUAGCAGGGUCAUUUGUCCGAUUCUCUUGAGUAAAAAUACUUUAGCGCUGGACAAAGUCGGCCAGAAACUUUUACAAAUAAGCCAAGAGUACAAUUAACAGCUCUCCUUCCCUUGUAAACAGUUUUAUUCGUUUUUAAGAAUCAUGCAGCAAUCCAUAAA